ACCUUCGUGGUGUAGUGGUCAGCGCGCUCGAUGCGUAUUCGAGAGGUUCGUGGUUCGAAUCCCGGCAAGGGCA
Stegodyphus mimosarum is the source of this 73-nucleotide non-coding RNA. NCBI's taxonomy places the organism in Eukaryota, Metazoa, Arthropoda, Arachnida, Araneae, Eresidae. The record is from Rfam.